This 468-nucleotide ribosomal RNA is filed under the name uncultured bacterium. RNAcentral describes it as "partial 16S ribosomal RNA". It matches the Rfam family "Bacterial small subunit ribosomal RNA", at positions 28 to 507 of the family's 1533-position model. The record is from RNAcentral.
GACGAACGCUGGCGGCGUGCUUAACACAUGCAUGUCGAACGGAAAGGCCCUGCUUUUGUGGGGUGCUCGAGUGGCGAACGGGUGAGUAACACGUGAGUAACCUGCCCUUGACUUUGGGAUAACUUCAGGAAACUGGGGCUAAUACCGGAUAGGAGCUCCUGCUGCAUGGUGGGGGUUGGAAAGUUUCGGCGGUUGGGGAUGGGCUCGCGGCUUAUCAGCUUGUUGGUGGGGUAGUGGCUUACCAAGGCUUUGACGGGUAGCCGGCCUGAGAGGGUGACCGGCCACAUUGGGACUGAGAUACGGCCCAGACUCCUACGGGAGGCAGCAGUGGGGAAUAUUGCGCAAUGGGCGGAAGCCUGAUGCAGCAACGCCGCGUGCGGGAUGACGGCCUUCGGGUUGUAAACCGCUUUCGCCUGUGACGAAGCGUGAGUGACGGUAAUGGGUAAAGAAGCACCGGCUAACUACGUG